UGCUUCUAGUUUAUCACGGCAUUGUUC
This 27-nucleotide non-coding RNA is filed under the name Mus musculus (house mouse). Lineage: Eukaryota; Metazoa; Chordata; Mammalia; Rodentia; Muridae. The record is from RNAcentral.